Molecule: ribosomal RNA, 467 nt
Filed under: uncultured bacterium
Lineage: Bacteria
Description: partial 16S ribosomal RNA
Rfam family: Bacterial small subunit ribosomal RNA
Source: RNAcentral
GACGAACGCUGGCGGCGUGCUUAACACAUGCAAGUCGAACGGAAAGGCCCUGCUUUUGUGGGGUGCUCGAGUGGCGAGCGGGUGAGUAACACGUGAGUAACCUGCCCUUGACUUUGGGAUAACUUCAGGAAACUGGGGCUAAUACCGGAUAGGAGCUCCUGCUGCAUGGUGGGGGUUGGAAAGUUUCGGCGGUUGGGGAUGGACUCGCGGCUUAUCAGCUUGUUGGUGGGGUAGUGGCUUACCAAGGCUUUGACGGGUAGCCGGCCUGAGAGGGUGACCGGCCACAUUGGGACUGAGAUACGGCCCAGACUCCGACGGGAGGCAGCAGUGGGGAAUAUUGCACAAUGGGCGGAAGCCGGAUGCAGCAACGCCGCGUGCGGGAGGACGGCCUUCGGGUGGUAAACCGCUUUCGCCUGUGACGAGGCGUGAGUGACGGUAAUGGGUAAAGAAGCACCGGCUAACUACGU